Long non-coding RNA from Rhincodon typus (whale shark), 1970 nucleotides. RefSeq lists it as uncharacterized. The record is from RefSeq and is a predicted model, not a curated record. The transcript is spliced from 4 exons. NCBI's taxonomy places the organism in Eukaryota, Metazoa, Chordata, Chondrichthyes, Orectolobiformes, Rhincodontidae.
AGCAAUGCCAAACUUAGUUGAGAAUAAACUUCGGUAUCAAGUAUCAUCAAGGAAGGGAACUAUAGCUGAACCUGCUCUCCUUGUAACCUGCUAUGUACAAGCAUCCACUUUACAUCAGCGGUUCAAUGUGUAGAAGGAACUGACCACUAUCAGCUAAUGAGCCAUGGUAUCCUGGAAAAAAAUACUGUUUGGAGUAUCUUCAGCAAAAACUCCUGAAAGUACAGCUGGAAAACUUCCAAACUUGAGAUGCUGCCAAACCUGCUGAGCUCCUGCUAGAAUUUUCUGUUUUUGUCUUUAUCUGACAAAACUAUAAAAUCCGUGAAUGGUUCAUCUAUAAUUUCUAUGUAUAGCUGUGUUUAAUGUUGCUGUAAAAUAAGUAGUGUUACUUUAAAGUCUAAGCCUGAAGACAGUUCUUGAAUUUGUCUGCUUCUUCAUCAGUCUGUCCUGAAACCAACUCAUAGUGUGCAACAUUGAACCACACGAGAAACAGAUGGUGGCAGCAAUGGCUAGAAAAUCAUGCCAGUAGAAAAGAUCAAGAAACAAACCUGAGAUCGUCUGGAGAACAGAAGAAUUUUUUUAAAAAUUUGGAAAAAAAUCAUUGAGACAGCUCUCAGACCAGCUCGCAGCCAGAAAUGCCACAGCACUGCACAGCUGCAGUGAAAGAAACAUCACUGAAUGAUAUAAGUCUUCAAAAACCUUUCGUAGACAGUAACAGGGGAAGUGAGCCUUUAAAAAUAAGUGAAAGCUAUAAAAUACCAGUAACCACUCAGAGGAUAAAUCAGAAUUGAGCACCUGCAAAAAGGAGCUUAUAUUUGAACACCCUUAAGGAAAGGGACAGCAGAGUUUCAUUUUCAACUGAAAAACUAGGCUGAGAAGCAUAGAUAAAACUUCUAACAGCGAGUUAACAAAUUCCUGAACCAUUUACUCACUGAGAAAGUUAACAGCAGCAAGUUAAGAUAACUCUUCAGGUACAGACUAAAAGCAAAAAGAUUGUAAAAGAGAAAAAAAAUGAGGAGUAAAAAUUGGUAUUGCAAUUCAAAUUCUCAACAGUACCAAAGUAAUGAAAGAAGUCUUUUUUUAUAAAUUUAAAUGGUUUGAAAGACAAAUUCAAAGUUUUGCUCAGCAGUUAAGAAAUUUUAUCAAUUUUAUUAAUUCAAGUACUCUGUCUUAAUUAAAUUCUAUUAAUUAAACUCUAUUAAUUAAAGUACAUUGUGAAUCUGAACAAGUGGUGUCAAAUUUAGUGCAAUUCAGGUUCAGAAAAAAAUCGCAGUAUGAAUAAUGUCACUACAGCAAAAAUUGAUAAAGUUCAAAAAUUAUUUGACUGUGGCAGCCAUCUUUGAUAGGUGUAAAAAGAUCAUUGAAGCUUAUUUAGUGAACCCAUUUUGGGAAUGUUUCUAUCCAUUGAACUUUGAGAAAUCUUUCAGUUGUUAUGAAAAAAUAUCUUCAUUUAUUCAACUCUAUAAUUGUGCCUUAUUGGUAAAGGGAAGCCAAACUUUACAUUGAAGACCACAUUUCAAAAAGCAACUUGGAGUUUUAGUAGUACACCAACUACUUUUACAACAACAAAGAUUCAGCAACAAAUUUAAUGAACCAAGAAUACCAUAAGGCAAACAAAAUGAGUGUAGUAGAAGAGAACAAAGUCUGAACAAUAUUCUUCUAAAUCAAGAACAUCAAUGAACAGUCAAACAAUGCAACUAAAUUCCCCUAUGCUAAUCUUUCCAUUAAAAAAAUUUAAGCUUUCACAUCCAUUUGAUGUAUUCUGAAAAGCGUUUGGACGAUCUUGGUGAAAAAGUUCAAGACAAGAGUGACUUAUGAUCUUGGGACAACGAGGUGCAGAACUGGAUGAACACAGCAGGCCAAGCAGCAUCAUAGGAGCAGAAAGGCUGACGUUUCGGGCCUAGACCUUUCAUCAGACUUAUGAUCUUGUGGGGCUCCAAAUAUUAAUCUUGUUAUUCUCACAACAGAAAAAG